This 512-nucleotide ribosomal RNA is filed under the name uncultured bacterium. Its description in RNAcentral is "partial 16S ribosomal RNA". It matches the Rfam family "Bacterial small subunit ribosomal RNA", at positions 28 to 507 of the family's 1533-position model. The record is from RNAcentral.
GAUGAACGCUGGCGGCGUGCCUAAUACAUGCAAGUCGAACGAAACUUCUUUAUCACCGAGUGCUUGCACUCACCGAUAAAGAGUUGAGUGGCGAACGGGUGAGUAACACGUGGGCAACCUGCCCAAAAGAGGGGGAUAACGCUUGGAAACAGGUGCUAAUACCGCAUAACCAUAGUUACCGCAUGGUAACUAUGUAAAAGGUGGCUAUACUACCGCUUUUGGAUGGGCCCGCGGCGCAUUAGCUAGUUGGUAGGGUAAAGGCUUACCAAGGCAAUGAUGCGUAGCCGAAUUGAGAGGUUGAUCGGCCACAUUGGGACUGAGACACGGCCCAAACUCCUACGGGAGGCAGCAGUAGGGAAUCUUCCACAAUGGGCGAAAGCCUGAUGGAGCAACGCCGCGUGGGUGAAGAAGGUCUUCGGAUCGUAAAACCCUGUUGUUAGAGAAGAAAGUGCGUGAGAGUAACUGUUCACGUUUCGACGGUAUCUAACCGGAAAGCCACGGCUAACUACGUG